GAAACUACAGUACGUGAACUGAUUGCAAUUACCUCUGCUAAUAACAUUAGUGGUGUACCUGUUGUUAAAGACG
This 73-nucleotide transfer RNA is filed under the name Acinetobacter baumannii BJAB07104. RNAcentral's name for it is "tRNA-Phe". The record is from RNAcentral. Lineage: Bacteria; Pseudomonadati; Pseudomonadota; Gammaproteobacteria; Moraxellales; Moraxellaceae.